UACGUCGGGUGCGAGCGUUAAUCGGAAUUACUGGGCGUAAAGUGUGCGCAGGCGGCUUCGCAAGUCGAGUGUGAAAUCCCCGAGCUUAACUUGGGAAUUGCGCUCGAAACUACGGAGCUGGAGUGUGGCAGAGGAAGGUGGAAUUCCACGUGUAGCGGUGAAAUGCGUAGAGAUGCGGAGGAACACCGAUGGCGAAGGCAGCCCCCUGGGCUAACACUGACGCUCAGGCACGAAAGCGUGGGGAGCAAACAGG
RNAcentral lists this ribosomal RNA (253 nucleotides) under uncultured bacterium. RNAcentral describes it as "partial 16S ribosomal RNA". It matches the Rfam family "Bacterial small subunit ribosomal RNA", at positions 524 to 776 of the family's 1533-position model. The record is from RNAcentral.